UGCCUUUAGGGUUUCAUACUUUCAUUCUCAUCCUCAUUAUCCGCCCCCAUCUUUCCUUCCCCAUUUCUCUCUCCGUUUUCUAGAAACCCUAAACUCGCAACGCCGCUUCCCCCUGUACAAACACACAUUCUUAUGAAAUCAGAAAGAUGAAGCUUCAGUGUAGUUGUAGUCUGUGGAAAAAAGACCCAGGUAGUUUUUUUAUGGCUGAAUGUUUUCAUAGAUCUACCGGACCACUAUCGACUUUGCAGAUCUGAGUUUUUAGCUACAUUCAAGAACGGUACAAACAACAUUCUUGCGUCAAUCAGAAGGAUGAAGCUUCGGUGUAGUUGAAAUCAGGAAACAAGCAGAGCUAGGGAAGAUGACAAGCCCGGAUCUGAUAGGUUUGCUUCGGUAUAGUUGCAAUCGGUGGAUGAAGAUGGAAAUCAGAUGAAGAUGGAGUGAUGGAGAUGACAAGCAAAACUUUGCAGAUCUGAGUUUUUUUUGGUUGUUUAGUGGAUGAUUGUGGCAUUAGGUUCACCUGAGAUGUGAUUUCUUGUAUGUUGAAGGCUAUGAUGAUCCAGCUCUCCGUUUUAGCAGGCCUGUUAACUUCAUAUGCCCAUCUUUAUUUGUCAUUAGUUUAGUUUUGAAUGGAUCAAUUGUUGAUUUCUGAGUGCAAGUUAAGAUGCACGUGCAAUGCUCUUGAUGAAGGAUAGAGAUAGGGCCACUAACCAAACUGAGUGGCCUGGCCCUUAAAAAUGAUUUUUAUUUUUGUUUAAAAUUGUUAGUAUGUAUUAAAAUGAUUAAAGCGACUUCAUUGGUAUGAUACGUUCACAAACCUUCAUGGUUUAAAAAGGAAAAAAUAUAUAAAUAAUAAAGGUUCAGCGGAUGGUUCCAAGUCCUAAUUUGUUAGUUCUGUGACCCGACCCGACCCAUCCAGAAAUUUCUAAUGUAUGGUUGUGAAAACUUUGACCACCACAAAAGUGAACCCAUAGAAAAAAAUUCUCAGAUCCGCCACUGGGUAGGAUGGGUGGGGCGGGUGACCCAUAAACACUUGUUACCCAUUUUAAUUUUUUCUUUAAAUAGCUUAUUUUUUCUUUACCAGACGCCGCAGGGUAGGAUGGGCGGGUCGGGUCGGGUCGCGGCUGCCGCUAAAACGCAGCGGCGCGACUGCCGCUAAAACGCAGAGGUGUAGCUGCAGCUAAAAUGCAACGGCGCGGGUGCCGUAAUGCCAUAGCACACGGCUGCCAUAACGCCACAGCGCGUGGCGGCCGAAACAUAGAGCGCGGCUGCAGAAACGCAGCGGCCAAACGCAACGGGCACGGCUGCAGGCAGACGCAACGGGCACGGUUGCCAUAACUGAUUAGAGUGUUUUAGUUGUUGGUUAUUGUUGACAUCAUGUUGAUGAUAGUGUGUUCAUAACUGCAGGCGAGGACAUCAAGAAAAUAACUUUCUGAACACGUUUCUUAUAAUGUUUGGGAUCUUUUUCGUGCUUGUGAUGAUCAGGCAAUGCUGAUUAGAGUGUUUUAGUUGUUGGUUAUUGUUGACAUCAUGUUGAUGAUAGUGUGUUCAUAUAAUACUUUGUAAUAGCACCAGCAGCCGCACGAGGGAGUAUAUACAACUUUCUGCACAAGCAAAAUGAUUCAUUUAAGCUUCCUUUGUUACUGAAGAUAGCAAUCGAUAUAUCCAAAGGCAUCAGUUACCUGUAUCAAAACAAUAUUAUCCACAGGGACGUGAAAACCGCCAAUCUUCUGAUGGAUGAGCACGACGUUGUGAAAGUUGCUGAUUUUGGAGUUGCAAGGGUGCAGACUGAAUCUGGAGUAAUGACGGCAGAAACCGGAACAUACAGGUGGAUGGCACCCGAGGUAUGACUGUGUUUAUAACUUUAUAUAUAUUCAUGUCUUUACAAAUGGCUCCAUAUACAUUCGCAAUCGCACGAAUGUCCGGUUUGUAAAGCGCUAAUACAAGAGGAGAAGCUGAUUCCUCUGUAUGGCAGAGGGAAGACACAAACUGACCCGAGAUCCAAACGCAUACCCGGCGUUGAUAUCCCGCACAGGCCAGUUGGACAGAGAAACCGAACACAUGUAUUUAUUUGUGUCAAAAAAUAUCUUUAUUAAUUAUGUAGCUUAUACACGAUGCGUGUAACCCAUUCAUAUUAAACAAGUUAGGGGGGGUUAUAAAGCGCUUGUAAUCGAACCGAAAGCCAAACUGGUUAGCAGGUUGAACUUAUUAUAUACAUAUGUGUGUGUGUGUGUGUGUUAUUGAUUUUAAUUGUAAAUGGAUUGAUGAUGAGUUGAUUUGUGGAAUGAAAUGAGUUAAAAUGUCAUAAAUAGAACACUGUAUAAUUAAUUAAACUUGUUAAAUAGACGAAUUCGAACAUGACUGGUUUAUUAAAUGGAUUAGACACAAUAACCCAAAAUUAAAUUAUUUUUUGUAUUGGUUUUAAGUCUUGUUUCAGAUUGUGCCAAAAGUUAAUAGAUCGAAAAGGCUGCUGAUCCAAGUUUAGAAGAGGUAAGCAACGAAAGACACAACGGCUGUGCAAGUAAAGCAGGUACCCACAACACCGUUUCAUCGCUAUCCAUUGAUGGGGAAGUCUCUGGUGCGACCCCAAACUCCUGAGCCAUGGUUCCAGUACUGUUGAAGGCUAUGAGCACCAUAAUGGUGAGUGCAGUGGCUAGCUCGACACUUUCCAUUUCGGCGAGUGUAGAGAAAGAUAGGUUUAGUAGCUUGUACGAGUGUUGCAAUUGAAGUAGGAUUAGAGGUAGUUUAGUGGGGAUUAGUGGAGGAAUUUAACAGCUAAUAACAUUGUUAGUAUUAUUUAUGAAACAAAGCCUUUUCAUUUGAUAGGAAGUGAGUAUCAAAUUAGGAGACCUUUAAAAUAUUGAAACUGUAUCGGAAGCAUUUGAAUGAGGCAAAUGGUUCGAGUUUUGAUAACAAAAGUUUCUGUAAUCCACAUUGUCAUUGGCUUUUGUAACACCGUCUUUAUGAAGUUACUGGUUUAUUUCAAGUGAUUCAUAGAUUCAACAAAGCCCUUUUGGGAAUUUUUUUAUCUUCUUAGUUUCAUAUAUCUUUUAAGCACCCAAUUGCUGCUGGUAUUUGAUUUUAUAGGGCUUCUAAAAUCUCUGGAUUGCUGCUGCAUACAUCAGUACAUUAUUAUUUUCAAGGCAAUCUUGUGUUAGCAUAAUACAGUUAACUAUUUUUGUAGUGGGUUCAUCUUUUAGUCCUUUCAGCUAGAUUACUUAAUUAGCUUGUAUAUUUAUUUGCAUUUCUUUGUUUUCAUUGUAUGCACUUUUCAGAAUGAUAGAACCCUAUCAAUGUCUUUUUCUAAUCCUAUUUAAAUUGAGCUUUGGUUGGUCAAUUAUUGCAAGGAUGAGCAAAUGGUACUAGGUACCGGUUCAGAAUCGGUACUGAAUUUCUCGAACCUGUUCGAUUUUCAGUACCAGUUUUUACCUUCAAAUUCCGGUCCGUACCGGUAACGAACCGUAUCGUACCAGGUAUUUUUGGUACCGUUACCCAUUUUUUUUGGAUUUUCGGUAUCGUUUGGUACCGAGCUUAUCCCUAAUUUAUUGUACUGAUCAUGUGAUGACAUUUAGUUUAUGUUUGACUUUCUUGAUUGCACUCUGACCUAUACCAAAAACUUUAUUCAAUAAAAUGUUGCUUUUUGUUACAAGUUUUAUGAUUCAAAGCAGAUUGUUCCUAAUAGACCCUCUAUUAGUUCCUUUACUGCAAUUAUUUGAUGGGACAUGGCAAUCAUGAUGGGCUUUCCAAAAACCAAACAUGGAAAUUUGAGGUGCGAGGCGCUGUGGAAUACGAGAAAUCACUUCUGGAACAUGAUUCGAGAAAUCACCGAGUUUAAAGACAAUGUUUUGAGGUACUAGCAUACAUUUUGAAGGUUGUUUGUUGAUUGAAGGUGUGUUCUCAAGGCGGGAAACAUGGUUGCACUACCCAAGGGCAUUCCAUUCGCGUAUUCUUUUCGUUUAACUCAGAACCUUUAUUCAUCAUCAACUCUAUUUUUCUUCUUUCCCUUUUUGUCUUAAUCAUAUAAAGGCACCCGAACCCGAAAGAUUAAACCCAUUAAACCCUAAAUUAUAGGGUAAAUAAAUAUUACAUUCAUAUUCUCUUAAGAUUCUUUCUUGUGAAAUACAAAAAACUACUAGGUGUCUACUAUCAUUCUACAAUCUUUGUUUUUCAGUUUCAACAUGAAUCACUGAUGAUCGCAACUUAUUUUGUAAGAUAUGAAAUGCCGCAAAAGGAGGUGUUUUAACGAAUUUAGAAUUUAGAAACAUAUACACUGAGGGUGCUCUUCACUGAAUUCUUUCCUGCUUUUGAUUCUUUUUCUAAUUCAAGGAUGCUCUUCACUGAAUUUUGACGGUCUGGCCUUGUUGGAUUUUCGAGCAAUAGUAUUGCAUGGUCCAUAUGGCGACUUCAGAAACUGGCCUUGUAGGAAGCAAGCGGUGAAUAUUUUCGUUUGCUUUGGUUGUUGGUUGAUAGAAAUUGAUCAUUUUAGCCAUUUUUACUAUUUAAGUGUAAAGUAAACACUAAGAUAUGGUUGAGCAAAUAAAGUCGUUAAUACCUUUGUACUCAUUAACCCCUAAACAAACUACCCCUUUGAAUGAACUAUGUUAGGAUUAAAUCUUGUGCAUACAAUGGAUAAUAUGGAUAUAUGAUGUUUUUUGUUUGGUUUGUUUGAAGGGAUCUCAAGGGGCUAUCAUUGGAAGGAUUAGUGGUAGCUGAGAUAUGGAACCUCACCCUCCUUGAAUGCUACAGACUUUAGAUUUUUUUCUUCUUCUUUUAGAGUUUGGUAAUUUCUUUUUUUUUUUCGCAUUUGUAUUUUAUGGUUUAUUUAAAAAACACAACUUGUUGUAGUGUAACAUAUUGGAUUUUGAGAGUA
Helianthus annuus (common sunflower) is the source of this 4867-nucleotide long non-coding RNA. RefSeq lists it as uncharacterized. The record is from RefSeq and is a predicted model, not a curated record. The transcript is spliced from 6 exons. Lineage: Eukaryota; Viridiplantae; Streptophyta; Magnoliopsida; Asterales; Asteraceae.